UUACAAAUUUUCUAUUAACUUUUAUACUAAAAAAAGUUAGUUAACAAAAAAAAAUUGGAACUCUUCCAAU
Molecule: transfer RNA, 70 nt
Filed under: Ips nitidus
Lineage: Eukaryota; Metazoa; Arthropoda; Insecta; Coleoptera; Curculionidae
Description: tRNA-Ser
Source: RNAcentral